GACGAACGCUGGCGGCGUGCUUAACACAUGCAAGUCGAACGGAAAGGCCCUGCUUUUGUGGGGUGCUCGAGUGGCGAACGGGUGAGUAACACGUGAGUAACCUGCCCUUGACUUUGGGAUAACUUCAGGAAACUGGGGCUAAUACCGGAUAGGAGCUCCUGCUGCAUGGUGGGGGUUGGAAAGUUUCGGCGGUUGGGGAUGGACUCGCGGCUUAUCAGCUUGUUGGUGGGGUAGUGGCUUACCAAGGCUUUGACGGGUAGCCGGCCUGAGAGGGUGACCGGCCACAUUGGGACUGAGAUACGGCCCAGACUCCUACGGGAGGCAGCAGUGGGGAAUAUUGCACAAUGGGCGGAAGCCGGAGGCAGCAACGCCGCGUGCGGGAUGACGGCCUUCGGGUUGUAAACCGCUUUCGCCUGUGACGAAGCGUGAGUGACGGUAAUGGGUAAAGAAGCACCGGCUAACUACGUG
This 468-nucleotide ribosomal RNA is filed under the name uncultured bacterium. RNAcentral's name for it is "partial 16S ribosomal RNA". It matches the Rfam family "Bacterial small subunit ribosomal RNA", at positions 28 to 507 of the family's 1533-position model. The record is from RNAcentral.